This is a long non-coding RNA of Galleria mellonella (greater wax moth), 717 nucleotides long. RefSeq lists it as uncharacterized. Lineage: Eukaryota; Metazoa; Arthropoda; Insecta; Lepidoptera; Pyralidae. The transcript has 2 exons. The record is from RefSeq and is a predicted model, not a curated record.
GAGCAGGAAAUUGAUACGACAGUAAAACAUUCCUGUAUAUUAAAGUGCAGUAAUACAUGUGUUUUAUAGCGUACCACCAAUGUCACGCUUCAAUGUUUAGUCAGCAUUCGUAUUAAAUAAAUUCACGCCGCCCGCCAGAAUGAUUGCAAUGACAUCUCGCUAAUGUAACACUGGCGGUGACAACAUUGUCUAUUUGAUAAGCGACUUCAAUAAGUCAUUCCGCAAAAAAAAAACAGCGACUUCAAUCGUGAAAUGAACUACAAGCAUCUGCUUCGAAGUCACAUUGAAAAUAUUUGGAUUUAGAACAAGAAAUCGUGUAUCAGACUUCAUGACAAGAGAUCCUGUAAUUCACAAGUUCUACAACGCAGAAUGAGUCGACAAUGUUUGAUGUGUGGAGCCGACAUUCCAACAAAUUAAUUGCCCAUGGUACAUACAUUUUGAAUAAAUAUUCAUGUCUUUUAAAUACGUCCCAUUUUGAUAAUUCAUUGUACCUACGACCAAAACAAUAUCUCAAAAUAAACAAUAUAGCCUGCCGACUUCUUUGUCUGUAUAUUUGCUUAAGAGUACGAAACUACUCCUCGUGCGAUUUUAUUGCGAUUCUCACCUUCAUUAAACUACGCAAUUUCUCUUUUCUGUAUAUAAUUUAAAAAACAAUCUAGUAUCAUAAUGUCACAAAACUACGAAAGUAAGAAAUAUAAUAGUUUGAUUUUAGAAUAA